Molecule: non-coding RNA, 72 nt
Organism: Ornithorhynchus anatinus (platypus)
Lineage: Eukaryota; Metazoa; Chordata; Mammalia; Monotremata; Ornithorhynchidae
Source: Rfam
AGCAGCGUGGCUCGGUAGAAAGAGCCUGGACUUGGGAGUCAGAGGUCAUGGGUUCGAAUCCCAGCUCUGCCG